AGAAACUAAGUGUGAUGGAGAGCUCAAAAUCACACGCCGCAGAGCCAGUCAGAUCACACCCGCCAGCCUGCCCUGCAUCCAGCUCUGCGCUGCACAGACAGCCACGAGGGGACUGCAACAAGGACCACGAGCGUCUCCGAGGGGCUGUGAGAGACCUGAAGGAAGAGCGGACCGCGCUGCAGGAGCAGCUGCUGCAGAGAGGUUUGGAGGUGAAGCAGCUCCUGCAGGCGAAGGCCGACCUGGAGAAGGAGCUGGAGCGCGCGAGGGAGGGCGAGGAGGAGAGGAGAGAGCGAGAGGAGGUUUUGAGAGAGGAGAUUCAGACGCUUACCAGCAAGCUCCAAGAAUUGGAAGAAAUGAAGAAAGAAGAGAAAGAGGAUUGCCCGGAAGUUCCUCAUAAGGCCCAAGAGCUCCCAGCUCCCAGUCCCAGCAGCAGGCACUGCGAGCAAGACUGGCCACCGGAUUCCAGCGAGGAGGGGCUCCCGCGGCCCCGCUCCCCCUGCUCUGAUGGGAGAAGAGACGCCGCGGCCAGAGUCCUGCAGGCCCAGUGGAAGGUGUACAAGCACAAGGUGAGGCUCCCCGGGGCGACCCGGGCUGCUCCCUGUGAGUCUUCGUGCUCCAAGGCAAGCCACUCACUCUCCAGGAAUGACUGGGCCUGGAGGGCCAGCCAGGC
RNAcentral lists this small RNA (670 nucleotides) under Pan troglodytes (chimpanzee). Its description in RNAcentral is "retained intron". The record is from RNAcentral. Lineage: Eukaryota; Metazoa; Chordata; Mammalia; Primates; Hominidae.